GUGGUCAAGCGUUUAAGGGCACGUGGUGGAUGCCUAGGCGCUGGAGGCCGAAGAAGGGCGUGGCAAGGCUGCGAAAAGCCUCGGUUAGCUGCCUAGCGAGCUUAGCCGGGGAUUCCCGAAUGGGGCAACCCGUCCCGGUGAUAAGCCGGGACACCCCCGCUUCAGCGGGGGAGGGAACCGGGGGAACCGAAACAUCCAAGUACCCCGAGGAAAAGAGACUAUUCCCCUAGUAGUGGCGAGCGAACGGGGAAGAGCCUAAACCGGGCGGGAAGGCAACGGCCCACGGGCCAAUGCCCGCCCGGGGUUGCGGGACACAGGCGGGGCCGGCCGUGGCAGGCCCGGGGAGUUACCAAGCUCCACCCU
Molecule: ribosomal RNA, 363 nt
Filed under: Chloroflexota bacterium
Lineage: Bacteria; Bacillati; Chloroflexota
Description: Chloroflexi bacterium (sediment metagenome) partial 23S ribosomal RNA
Rfam family: Bacterial large subunit ribosomal RNA
Source: RNAcentral